GAUGAACGCUGGCGGCGUGCCUAAUACAUGCAAGUCGAGCGAACAGACGAGGAGCUUGCUCCUCUGACGUUAGCGGCGGACGGGUGAGUAACACGUGGAUAACCUACCUAUAAGACUGGGAUAACUUCGGGAAACCGGAGCUAAUACCGGAUAAUAUAUUGAACCGCAUGGUUCAAUAGUGAAAGACGGUUUUGCUGUCACUUAUAGAUGGAUCCGCGCCGCAUUAGCUAGUUGGUAAGGUAACGGCUUACCAAGGCAACGAUGCGUAGCCGACCUGAGAGGGUGAGCGGCAACAGUGGGAGUAAGACAGGGGGGGGAGUCAGAGGGGAGGAGGAAGAAGGGAGUUUACAGAAAUGGGAGAAAUUAGUAAGGAGUAAAUACGGGUGAAUAAUAAAUGUCUAAGAAUAGUAGAAAUCUGGGAUGAUCGAAGAACAAAUGGGUAAGGAACCAUGCAAGCCAGGAGGGUAAGUAAUCAGAAAACCAACGCAAGUGACGAG
RNAcentral lists this ribosomal RNA (497 nucleotides) under uncultured bacterium. RNAcentral's name for it is "partial 16S ribosomal RNA". It matches the Rfam family "Bacterial small subunit ribosomal RNA", at positions 28 to 507 of the family's 1533-position model. The record is from RNAcentral.